GUGAAUCAUCAAAUUUUUGAACGCAAAUUGCACUCCCUGGUAUUCCGGAGAGCAUGCCUGUUUGAGGGUCAGGUUAAAUAAAAACUGUUGUAUUUGCUGCUUUUCGUGGUGACGCACCUGAAUUGGGUCGUCUUUCCUUCGGUUCAGUGACCUAAAAUUUCGCAUGAUUUUUUUCGAACGUAUUCAAAUGAUUUUACGUACUUUUGCGAUAUCGAAUACUAGGUGUGGUCAUCCUCAUGAUUCGCGCCUAUAAUUUUUCAUCAAAA
Molecule: unclassified non-coding RNA, 266 nt
Filed under: Glomeraceae sp.
Lineage: Eukaryota; Fungi; Glomeromycota; Glomeromycetes; Glomerales; Glomeraceae
Description: partial contains 5.8S ribosomal RNA and internal transcribed spacer 2
Rfam family: 5.8S ribosomal RNA (bases 1-71)
Source: RNAcentral